RNAcentral lists this transfer RNA (66 nucleotides) under Ruminococcus difficilis. RNAcentral describes it as "tRNA-Val". It matches the Rfam family "tRNA". Rfam says of the family: Transfer RNA (tRNA) molecules are approximately 80 nucleotides in length. Their secondary structure includes four short double-helical elements and three loops (D, anti-codon, and T loops). Further hydrogen bonds mediate the characteristic L-shaped molecular structure. tRNAs have two regions of fundamental functional importance: the anti-codon, which is responsible for specific mRNA codon recognition, and the 3' end, to which the tRNAs corresponding amino acid is attached (by aminoacyl-tRNA synthetases). tRNAs cope with the degeneracy of the genetic code in two manners: having more than one tRNA (with a specific anti-codon) for a particular amino acid; and 'wobble' base-pairing, i.e. permitting non-standard base-pairing at the 3rd anti-codon position. The record is from RNAcentral. Lineage: Bacteria; Bacillati; Bacillota; Clostridia; Eubacteriales; Oscillospiraceae.
CGGAACAUAGCUCAGCGGCGAGAGCACCAGACACGAUGGACGAAGGUUCGAGUCCUUCUGUUCCGA